GCAGAAGAGGACAGUGGAACUCCAUGUGUAGCGGUGGAAUGCGUAGAUAUAUGGAAGAACACCAGUGGCGAAGGCGGCUGUCUAGUCUGUAACUGACGCUGAGGCUCGAAAGCAUGGGUAGCGAACAGGAUUAGAUACCCUGGUAGUCCAUGCCGUAAACGAUGAGUGCUAAGUGUUGGAGGGUUUCCCCCUUCAGUGCUGCAGCUAACGCAUUAAGCACUCCGCCUGGGGAGUACGACCGCAAGGUUGAAACUCAAAGGAAUUGACGGGGGCCCGCACAAGCGGUGGAGCAUGUGGUUUAAUUCGAAGCUACGCGAAGAACCUUACCAGGUCUUGACAUCUUCUGUCAAUCUUAGAGAUAAGACGUUCCCUUCGGGGACAGAAUGACAGGUGGUGCAUGGUUGUCGUCAGCUCGUGUCGUGAGAUGUUGGGUUAAGUCCCGCAACGAGCGCAACCCUUAUUAUCAGUUGCCAGCAUUCAGUUGGGCACUCUGGUGAGACUGCCGGUGACAAACCGGAGGAAGGUGGGGAUGACGUCAAAUCAUCAUGCCCCUUAUGACCUGGGCUACACACGUGCUACAAUGGACGGUACAACGAGUCGCGAAGUCGUGAGGCUAAGCUAAUCUCUUAAAGCCGUUCUCAGUUCGGAUUGUAGGCUGCAACUCGCCUACAUGAAGUUGGAAUCGCUAGUAAUCGCGGAUCAGCAUGCCGCGGUGAAUACGUUCCCGGGCCUUGUACACACCGCCCGUCACACCAUGAGAGUUUGUAACACCCAAAGCCGGUGAGAUAACCUUCGGGAGUCAGCCGUCUAAGGUGGGACAGAUGAUUAGGGUGAAGUCGUAACAAGGUAACCAAGGGCGAA
Molecule: ribosomal RNA, 861 nt
Filed under: uncultured Lactobacillus sp.
Lineage: Bacteria; Bacillati; Bacillota; Bacilli; Lactobacillales; Lactobacillaceae
Description: bacterial SSU rRNA
Rfam family: Bacterial small subunit ribosomal RNA
Source: RNAcentral